This 301-nucleotide ribosomal RNA is filed under the name uncultured bacterium. Its description in RNAcentral is "partial 16S ribosomal RNA". It matches the Rfam family "Bacterial small subunit ribosomal RNA", at positions 509 to 807 of the family's 1533-position model. The record is from RNAcentral.
CAGCAGCCACGGGAAUACGUAGGUGGCAAGCGUUGUCCGGAAUUAUUGGGCGUAAAGGGCUCGCAGGCGGUUUCUUAAGUCUGAUGUGAAAGCCCCCGGCUCAGCCGGGGAGGGUCAUUGGAAACUGGGAAACUUGAGUGCAGAAGAGGAGAGUGGAAUUCCACGUGUAGCGGUGAAAUGCGUAGAGACGUGGAGGAACACCAGUGGCGAAGGCGACUCUCUGGUCUGUAACUGACGCUGAGGAGCGAAAGCGUGGGGAGCGAACAGGAUUAGAUACCCCCGUAGUCCCUGUCUCUUAUAC